This 391-nucleotide ribosomal RNA is filed under the name Escherichia coli. RNAcentral describes it as "bacterial SSU rRNA". It matches the Rfam family "Bacterial small subunit ribosomal RNA", at positions 207 to 583 of the family's 1533-position model. Lineage: Bacteria; Pseudomonadati; Pseudomonadota; Gammaproteobacteria; Enterobacterales; Enterobacteriaceae. The record is from RNAcentral.
GGACCUUCGGGCCUCUUGCCAUCGGAUGUGCCCAGAUGGGAUUAGCUAGUAGGUGGGGUAAAGGCUCACCUAGGCGACGAUCCCUAGCUGGUCUGAGAGGAUGACCAGCCACACUGGAACUGAGACACGGUCCAGACUCCUACGGGAGGCAGCAGUGGGGAAUAUUGCACAAUGGGCGCAAGCCUGAUGCAGCCAUGCCGCGUGUAUGAAGAAGGCCUUCGGGUUGUAAAGUACUUUCAGCGGGGAGGAAGGGAGUAAAGUUAAUACCUUUGCUCAUUGACGUUACCCGCAGAAGAAGCACCGGCUAACUCCGUGCCAGCAGCCGCGGUAAUACGGAGGGUGCAAGCGUUAAUCGGAAUUACUGGGCGUAAAGCGCACGCAGGCGGUUUGU